This 564-nucleotide long non-coding RNA is filed under the name Homo sapiens (human). RNAcentral's name for it is "HSALNT0163374". Lineage: Eukaryota; Metazoa; Chordata; Mammalia; Primates; Hominidae. The record is from RNAcentral.
CUUCGUGUUAGGUGGCAUUGUAACCAUUACAAUGCAGUAUUUGAGGCCAUGCCCUCAGGAACUUAUAGUAAGGGUGAGAAGAUGUAUGUAAAACUCUAUCGAUCCAAUGGAGCAAGAUUAUAGGUGAGCAAACUGACCUUUUUAAUGGGUCUGUGACUUGAAUCCAGGUCUGUCUGACUCUAAUCUGGGUUACCCCACCUGAACAUCCUCCUGGGAGGAAGCAGGGCAUGAAUCCGAAGGAAUUAGUGAAGUCCUUCCAUAGCCAUCCUUGAUGGUGGAGCGGGGGUGUGUCUCAGCAAAAAGGGCUGAAGUAUAAGGUGCUGGGACCAGUUGUCAGUAAAGGCAGUAUGAUUCAAUGAAUCAAUUAAAUCAGGAUGGAGAAGGGAAGCAAAAAGUCCAAGCCAGAUAAGUGGAACUACCCAUGAAACUGGAGGGUGUGGUGAACAAAAGCAAAAUGAUUAGUCACAAGGUCAGGAGCAAGUGGCCCCAGGAUGAAGAAAGGUAGCUAGAUGGAGGAUGGUUCUCCUCAUUCCGCAGAUGAUGAACUUGAAACCAGUGACAGUG